GUGUGUGUGUGUCAGAGAGAGAGAGGGUAUUGUGCAGAACACACCAACAUUGUCCCUGAAUAAAAGGACAGAAAAGCUAUAAAAGUCACCUUCCAGAUAGUUGGGACCACUCAGCAUCUGCUACGGCUCCACUGAUCCCUCCAUGACACAGAUCUCAUUUACAAAUGUACACACAAAAUAACAGUUCUCUAUAAAGCUUACCAGAAUUUGGAGACAAGUGCAAUAUCAUUGGUGACCAACACCCCCUUUCAGCUGUCCUUUGUUGAAGGUGGGUCUAGUUCUGUAUAUCCAAGAGAAGAUUAAAUUUUUAGGCAGGGAGGGAGGGAAGGAGGGG
Long non-coding RNA from Amblyraja radiata (thorny skate), 334 nucleotides. RefSeq lists it as uncharacterized. The transcript is spliced from 3 exons. The record is from RefSeq and is a predicted model, not a curated record. NCBI's taxonomy places the organism in Eukaryota, Metazoa, Chordata, Chondrichthyes, Rajiformes, Rajidae.